AUUAUAUUGUAGUGAUACAAAUUAUAUAUUAUUAAUCUGUGAUCUAAAAAAAAUAUUUUUAUGAGUAUUCAUUGAAGAAAUAAAUUUAUAACAAGCGAUAAGGAAUGUUAUUUUGCACUCUAUAAUGUCCGUAUUUAUAAAUCGGUUACCAGUCAAAAACGAAAGCUACGUAAGUAGAAAUCUCUUUGGUAACAAUACAUCGGAAUGUUAAAAUAAAUAAAUAAGUAAUAAUUAUGGUAAUUUUCUUUCAUUGGGGGUGGGGCCGUGUGAGAAAACAGUGGAUUUUCUCGUAUUUUUUUCAUUUCUACACCUUGAAGAAGGAAAAACAGUCAAUAAAUACCCCCUUUUUCAAAGACCAACAAAUUUACCCCCCCCCCCCUUCCCAAAAAAGUAACCACCUGAUAAUUACACACAAACGCACAUACACACAUUUUCAAUACUUUUGUUCGUAAUAACAAAAAAAAAA
RNAcentral lists this long non-coding RNA (466 nucleotides) under Mytilus galloprovincialis (Mediterranean mussel). Lineage: Eukaryota; Metazoa; Mollusca; Bivalvia; Mytilida; Mytilidae. The record is from RNAcentral.